Molecule: non-coding RNA, 21 nt
Filed under: Caenorhabditis elegans
Lineage: Eukaryota; Metazoa; Nematoda; Chromadorea; Rhabditida; Rhabditidae
Source: RNAcentral
UCUACUUAUACUACGAUGUUU